Molecule: ribosomal RNA, 497 nt
Filed under: uncultured bacterium
Lineage: Bacteria
Description: partial 16S ribosomal RNA
Rfam family: Bacterial small subunit ribosomal RNA
Source: RNAcentral
GAUAAACGCUGGCGGCGUGCCUAAUACAUGCGAGUCGAGCGAACGGACGAGAAGCUUGCUUCUCUGAUGUUAGCGGCGGACGGGUGAGUAACACGUGGAUAACCUACCUAUAAGACUGGGAUAACUUCGGGAAACCGGAGCUAAUACCGGAUAAUAUUUUGAACCGCAUGGUUCAAAAGUGAAAGACGGUCUUGCUGUCACUUAUAGAUGGAUCCGCGCUGCAUUAGCUAGUUGGUAAGGUAACGGCUUACCAAGGCAACGAUGCAUAGCCGACCUGAGAGGGUGAUCGGCCACACUGGAACUGAGACACGGUCCAGACUCCUACGGGAGGCAGCAGUAGGGAAUCUUCCGCAAUGGGCGAAAGCCUGACGGAGCAACGCCGCGUGAGUGAUGAAGGUCUUCGGAUCGUAAAACUCUGUUAUUAGGGAAGAACAUAUGUGUAAGUAACUGUGCACAUCUUGACGGUACCUAAUCAGAAAGCCACGGCUAACUACGUG